UACAGAGGUCUCAAGCGUUGUUCGGAUUCAUUGGGCGUAAAGGGUGCGUAGGCGGCGUGGUAAGUCGGGUGUGAAAUCUCGGAGCUUAACUCCGAAACUGCAUUCGAUACUGCCGUGCUUGAGGACUGGAGAGGAGACUGGAAUUUACGGUGUAGCGGUGAAAUGCGUAGAUAUCGUAAGGAAGACCAGUGGCGAAGGCGGGUCUCUGGACAGUUCCUGACGCUGAAGCACGAAGGCCAGGGGAGCAAACGGG
RNAcentral lists this ribosomal RNA (253 nucleotides) under uncultured bacterium. Its description in RNAcentral is "partial 16S ribosomal RNA". It matches the Rfam family "Bacterial small subunit ribosomal RNA", at positions 524 to 776 of the family's 1533-position model. The record is from RNAcentral.